Molecule: long non-coding RNA, 939 nt
Organism: Oncorhynchus tshawytscha (Chinook salmon)
Lineage: Eukaryota; Metazoa; Chordata; Actinopteri; Salmoniformes; Salmonidae
Exons: 3
Source: RefSeq, a predicted model, not a curated record
AUUUUGAGUGGGUGUAGAUAGUAGUACCAAAACAUUGAAGAUGGUUUUCUCAAAACAUACUGUAGGUUCUAAAUCCUAAUCCCUGGACAGAGGAAUAGACACUCAUUCUACCCCAAUAAGAACAAGCCACGGGAGAACUAAUUUCUUCCUAGUCUUCAGAGACUAAAGAAACAUAGGACGUGCAGCAAUGAAGGAACCAAACUACUCUUUUCCUGAUCCCAUAAGUUUUCACUUUUCUGGAGAUGCAUCUGUGGGGAGCGUUACCUGGCUGUUGUCCAGCCUGUAGUCUUCCUCAAGUACAGACUCCUAAGGCACAGGGUGGCAUCUGUGGGGAGUGUUACCUGGCUGUUGUCCAGCCUGUAGUCUUCCUCAAGUACAGACUCCUAAAGCACAGGGUGGCAUCUGUGGGGAGUGUUACCUGGCUGUUGUCCAGCCUGUAGUCUUCCUCAAGUACAGACUCCUAAGGCACAGGGUGGCAUCUGUGGGGAGCGUUACCUGGCUGUUGUCCAGCCUGUAGUCUUCCUCAAGUACAGACUCCUAAGGCACAGGGUGGCAUCUGUGGGGAGCAUUACCUGGCUGUUGUCCAGCCUGUAGUCUUCCUCAAGUACAGACUCCUAAAGCACAGGGUGGCAUGUGUGAUCAUAGCACGGUUGCUGACACUUUGCCUCCUUGUGUCAAAGGGCGCUACCGGUGACGGCAUCAAAUUCAGUGCCUGUAUCUUCACCCCGGUUCUGUCUAUCAACAUGUUCUGCAGUGUCUUCUUACUGAGGGUGCUGAGCAGGUCCAGUCCAGGGGAUGAAGAGAAUGAGAGAGGGUGAAACAGAGGAGAGGGAGGGAAACUGAGGAAGAGAAGAGCCUCCUGUUCCAUCCAGAUCAUCCUGCGGAUCUUGAUGCUGAACUACUCUCCUAUCAUUGGGGAAAUCCUUCAGGAUCAUAUUU